GUUGCCAGAAACUGUACCAUCAGGACAUUUCCUGGGGGCUCAGGCAUGGUCUGGAACUAAUCUGAAAUCUGUACUAGCUUCCUGGAGCUCUGGCCCAGCCUUUCUGAAUUUGCUCCCAUUCAGGCCUGCCUGUAUCAGCUGGCUUGUCUACCUACCUACAGGUUUCCCAGGAACGAAGUCCAUGUGAGCUGCAGACCAUCUGGAAGAGGGCCAGUAAAAUCUGGAACAAGGACUGGCUCCUGGAGUCUCCUGCCAGCCACAAACUGCCCUGGUGACUGGAAAACUACAUUUGUUGAGAACCUGCUGUACCUCAGACAAUAUACAAGCAAUGUGAAUCCAGACCAGGAAGAGCUCCUAAUAAACGGUGAACCACAAAUAGUACACAGGGUGAAGCAUGGAUGAGGUUAUGACUCAGCUUUGACCAUGCGGCCAAAGACAACAUCCUAGGAACUGUGAGGCAAGGGGAUGGGAGGAAGCCAUGGCCCUGACUGACCCGAUGGAGCUGAGUAUUCCGACCAGUCUGGACCACCCACCCCUGGUCUUUUGCUGGAGAAAUAAAUUAAUUGUAUCUUCUUUAAA
This is a non-coding RNA of Macaca mulatta (Rhesus monkey), 579 nucleotides long. The record is from RefSeq and is a predicted model, not a curated record. Lineage: Eukaryota; Metazoa; Chordata; Mammalia; Primates; Cercopithecidae.